Molecule: ribosomal RNA, 596 nt
Filed under: uncultured bacterium
Lineage: Bacteria
Description: bacterial SSU rRNA
Rfam family: Bacterial small subunit ribosomal RNA
Source: RNAcentral
AAUACAUCGGAACGUGCCCAAUCGUGGGGGAUAACGCAGCGAAAGCUGUGCUAAUACCGCAUACGAUCUACGGAUGAAAGCAGGGGAUCGCAAGACCUUGCGCGAAUGGAGCGGCCGAUGGCAGAUUAGGUAGUUGGUGAGGUAAAGGCUCACCAAGCCUUCGAUCUGUAGCUGGUCUGAGAGGACGACCAGCCACACUGGGACUGAGACACGACCCAGACUCCUACGGGAGGCAGCAGUGGGGAAUUUUGGACAAUGGGCGCAGGCCUGAUCCAGCCAUGCCGCGUGCAGGAUGAAGGCCUUCGGGUUGUAAACUGCUUUUGUACGGAACGAAACGGCCUUUUCUAAUAAAGAGGGCUAAUGACGGUACCGUAAGAAUAAGCACCGGCUAACUACGUGCCAGCAGCCGCGGUAAUACGUAGGGUGCAAGCGUUAAUCGGAAUUACUGGGCGUAAAGCGUGCGCAGGCGGUAAUGUAAGACAGUUGUGAAAUCCCCGGGCUCAACCUGGGAACUGCAUCUGUGACUGCAUUGCUGGAGUACGGCAGAGGGGGAUGGAAUUCCGCGUGUAGCAGUGAAAUGCGUAGAUAUGCGGAGG